AUUGAACGCUGGCGGCAUGCCUUACACAUGCAAGUCGAACGGCAGCACGGGAGCAAUCCUGGUGGCGAGUGGCGAACGGGUGAGUAAUGUAUCGGAACGUGCCUUGUCGUGGGGGAUAACGUAGCGAAAGCUACGCUAAUACCGCAUACCAUCUAAGGAUGAAAGCGGGGGAUCGCAAGACCUCGCGCGACAAGAGUGGCCGAUAUCAGAUUAGGUUGUUGGUGGGGUAAAGGCCUACCAAGCCGACGAUCUGUAGCUGGUCUGAGAGGACGACCAGCCACACUGGGACUGAGACACGGCCCAGACUCCUACGGGAGGCAGCAGUGGGGAAUUUUGGACAAUGGGCGAAAGCCUGAUCCAGCAAUGGCCGCGUGCAGGAUGAA
This 383-nucleotide ribosomal RNA is filed under the name uncultured bacterium. RNAcentral's name for it is "bacterial SSU rRNA". It matches the Rfam family "Bacterial small subunit ribosomal RNA", at positions 30 to 412 of the family's 1533-position model. The record is from RNAcentral.